This is a long non-coding RNA of Carassius carassius (crucian carp), 583 nucleotides long. RefSeq lists it as uncharacterized. Lineage: Eukaryota; Metazoa; Chordata; Actinopteri; Cypriniformes; Cyprinidae. The record is from RefSeq and is a predicted model, not a curated record. The transcript has 3 exons.
AACUAAAAAUGCUUUGGGUUUCCUGCUUAACAAACAGGAAAUGGAAACGGAACUGCAUUAUUUGAAGGGCAAGCUGACCACCUUAUCCCAUCUACUUCCCAAGUCCUUUUGCAGAGUGACUUGUUUGUGAUGGCAGGCAGGAUUAUUGGUCAUUCUUUCCUCCAUGGUGGGCCUUCAUUAGCAGGUGUGAGCCCCGCAAUUGUACAUGUAUUAUUAGGUGGCUCCCCACAAACAGCAACCAUCACAAUUGAAGAUGUGGCUGACAUCGACAUUAGGGAGACAAUACAGAUGCUUGCUGUAGGUGAUUCAAAGAAUGAUUUUACUGAGGGUCAAAAGGCAGCCAUUAACCAACUGGCAAUGUCUUGGGACCUUCCAGUGCUGACUACAACCAACCGCACUUGGCUGUUACACAAUCUUCUUCAGCAUGCAGUGCUGACAAGAACCUGGCGACAAGUAAAACAACUCAAACAAGGACUGAAGGAGUCAAUGGUAUGGCAGUUAUUGGAGGCCCGACCUGAUGUGGCAUCUGUGAUAUUUCCAAGACAGUCAAUGGCUGACUGCAGUACACAGGUGAUUUAUUGAG